This 466-nucleotide ribosomal RNA is filed under the name uncultured bacterium. Its description in RNAcentral is "bacterial SSU rRNA". It matches the Rfam family "Bacterial small subunit ribosomal RNA", at positions 329 to 792 of the family's 1533-position model. The record is from RNAcentral.
UACCAGACUCCUACGGGAGGCAGCAGUGAGGAAUAUUGGUCAAUGGGCGAGAGCCUGAACCAGCCAAGUCGCGUGAAGGAUGACGGCCCUACGGGUUGUAAACUUCUUUUGUCAGGGAGCAAUUGGGUCCACGCGUGGGCUUAGCGAGAGUACCUGAAGAAAAAGCAUCGGCUAACUCCGUGCCAGCAGCCGCGGUAAUACGGAGGAUGCGAGCGUUAUCCGGAUUUAUUGGGUUUAAAGGGUGCGUAGGCGGGAUGCCAAGUCAGGGGUAAAAAUGCGGUGCUCAACGCCGUCGAGCCGUUGAAACUGGCGUUCUUGAGUGGGCGAGAAGUAUGCGGAAUGCGUGGUGUAGCGGUGAAAUGCAUAGAUAUCACGCAGAACUCCGAUUGCGAAGGCAGCAUACCGGCGCCCAACUGACGCUGAAGCACGAAAGCGUGGGUAUCGAACAGGAUUAGAUACCCUAGUA